Pyrgilauda ruficollis (rufous-necked snowfinch) is the source of this 538-nucleotide long non-coding RNA. RefSeq lists it as uncharacterized. The transcript is spliced from 3 exons. The record is from RefSeq and is a predicted model, not a curated record. NCBI's taxonomy places the organism in Eukaryota, Metazoa, Chordata, Aves, Passeriformes, Passeridae.
GGCUGGGUGGCGGACGCGCGCACGGCGGCGGCGGCUGAGGGGACUCGGGCCGGGCCGCGGCCCUGAGGGAGCGGUGGAGCUGCGGGCGCAUCCCGGGAGCUGCGGGCGCUCCCGGGCCGCGGCGGCCACUGCCAGGCCCGUGCCUGUGCUCCAGUCCGGCCCCGGCGGCCCGAGCCCUCGGGCCCGCUCCCAGCGGCCUGCAGCCCUCGGUCCGGCGGCCUGAGCCGUCGGUCCCGCCCGCUCCUCAGCGCCGACGCUGCGCCGCCGUUGGUCCCGGCCAGCGGCACGGGUUUGAGGUGGACAACUGAUGGAACAUUCCACUAGGAAGGAUAAAACUGUUCUUUCAAGGUAGUUUGCACAGAUUAGACUGAGACCUACACGGAAAAAUAUCUCAACCAACAGUGACUGGGAACGCUUGAGAACUCCUGAAUGAUUGCUUGAGGCCUUGGAGGAAAACAUUAAGACUUUACAUUUCACAGUCAGCUCUGUUAAGCAGCUAUGGAAAUAGAAAAGGAACACAUUUAUAUUACCCCAACAG